GCUUGUAGCUCAGUUGGUUAGAGCGCAUCUCUGAUAAGGAUGAGGUCCGUGGUUCGAAUCCACGCAGGCCCACGCUG
This 77-nucleotide transfer RNA is filed under the name uncultured Alphaproteobacteria bacterium. Its description in RNAcentral is "tRNA-Ile". It matches the Rfam family "tRNA". Rfam says of the family: Transfer RNA (tRNA) molecules are approximately 80 nucleotides in length. Their secondary structure includes four short double-helical elements and three loops (D, anti-codon, and T loops). The record is from RNAcentral. Lineage: Bacteria; Pseudomonadati; Pseudomonadota; Alphaproteobacteria.